CCUACGGGAGGCAGCAGUGGGGAAUAUUGGGCAAUGGAGGAAACUCUGACCCAGCAACGCCGCGUGAAUGAUGAAGGUCUUCGGAUGGUAAAGUUCUUUUCUAAGGGAAGAAGAAAGUGACGGUACCUUAGGAAGAAGCUUCGGUCAACUACGUGCCAGCAGCCGCGGGAAUACGGAGGAGGCGGGCGUUAUGCGGUAUGACUGGGCGCAAGGGGUGUGGAGGUGGUUUGGCAAGUUAGUAGCGUAACUCCAAGGCUCAACCUUGGAACUACUACUAAAACUGUUGGACUUGAGUGCAGGAGGGGCAGCCGGAAUGCCUGGUGUAGCGGUGGAAUGCGUAGAUAUUAGGAGGAACACCAGUGGCGAAGGCGGCUUGCUAGACUGUAACUGACACUGAGGCACGAAAGCGUGGGGAGCAAACAGGAUUAGAUACCCGGGUAGUC
RNAcentral lists this ribosomal RNA (443 nucleotides) under uncultured bacterium. RNAcentral's name for it is "partial 16S ribosomal RNA". It matches the Rfam family "Bacterial small subunit ribosomal RNA", at positions 338 to 795 of the family's 1533-position model. The record is from RNAcentral.